UCCAGGUUCCAAUUCAAUUCCUCACAUAACGGACUACAUGCUUAUUCCCUUUUUAAUUUUUAUUUCUCGGUAUAUACAUGAUUUGAUUCCAUAUUCAAUUUACUAUCCAUGAAUUUUUAUGUACAGACGUUCUCAAAUGCUAUGGAAUACAGUUGAAGAAAUAGUUUAUUCAACCUUUUGUCUCUGUGUUUUGGUUACGGACAUUUCAAGUUCCGUCUUUUUUGAGAAGAAAAGCCAACCCUAAAAAUGUUGUUUCCAUCAUACUGGGAGGAGGUUCUGGUGUUCAACUUUUUCCUCUUACCAAACGAGCUGCUACACCAGCUGUUCCUGUUGGUGGAUGCUACAGGCUUAUAGACAUUCCAAUGAGCAACUGCAUCAACAGCGGGAUCAACAAAGUAUUUGUAUUGACACAGUUCAACUCAGCAUCCCUUAACCGUCAUAUCUCUCGCACCUAUUUUGGAAAUGGCAUCAACUUUGGAGAUGGAUACGUAGAGGUAUGUAUCAAGA
This is a long non-coding RNA of Lathyrus oleraceus (garden pea), 507 nucleotides long. RefSeq lists it as uncharacterized. The record is from RefSeq and is a predicted model, not a curated record. The transcript has 3 exons. NCBI's taxonomy places the organism in Eukaryota, Viridiplantae, Streptophyta, Magnoliopsida, Fabales, Fabaceae.